RNAcentral lists this transfer RNA (77 nucleotides) under Planctomycetota bacterium. Its description in RNAcentral is "tRNA-His". It matches the Rfam family "tRNA". Rfam says of the family: Transfer RNA (tRNA) molecules are approximately 80 nucleotides in length. Their secondary structure includes four short double-helical elements and three loops (D, anti-codon, and T loops). Lineage: Bacteria; Pseudomonadati; Planctomycetota. The record is from RNAcentral.
GUGGGCGUAGCUCAGUUGGUUAGAGCAUCGGUUUGUGGUACCGAAGGUCGCGGGUUCGAGUCCCGUUGCCCACCCCA